Long non-coding RNA from Ipomoea nil (Japanese morning glory), 409 nucleotides. RefSeq lists it as uncharacterized. The transcript is spliced from 2 exons. The record is from RefSeq and is a predicted model, not a curated record. NCBI's taxonomy places the organism in Eukaryota, Viridiplantae, Streptophyta, Magnoliopsida, Solanales, Convolvulaceae.
GCGUUGUGUGCGGAACUAUGUUGUAACUAAAAGCAGAGGAGAAAAAUACAUUAGAAGUGAAGAGUGGAUAGUCCAUGAUCAGGAGAUAAUAAAAUUGUGUCAAGUAGUAAGAUAAGCAGUGCUUCAAUCGGUGGUAGUCUAUGUGAUUCUACAGCAAAAAAUUAUGUCUUCGGUGUAUUUCAAGCAUCACUCUCUACCCCAUUGAGUAAAAUUAAUUGUUAAUUUUUUUUCAAUCAUCAUUUGUAGAAUGUACAUUAGUAAUUUAUAAUCCACAACAUAUAUCAUGUGUCGUCAAACAAUAGAUCGUCUACAAGUAGGAAUUUUUAGAAUGAUAACCGUAUACCACUUGCUUAUGUAAAUAAUAGUAAGUUUGUGUAUCACACUAAAAUAAAAAAUUUGUAUUGGAUUA